This 241-nucleotide long non-coding RNA is filed under the name Elaeis guineensis (African oil palm). RNAcentral describes it as "long non-coding RNA (EGUI_LNC042704)". The record is from RNAcentral. Lineage: Eukaryota; Viridiplantae; Streptophyta; Magnoliopsida; Arecales; Arecaceae.
CACACUAUCUUAGCUAAAGUCUUCCGAAUUAAAUCUCAUAAAUCACAUAAGACUACUGCUUUUCUACUAAGAUUGAUAGAUCUCAUUUUGGUGUAUACCCUAUUCCUACAAUGAAUCUAUUGCAACCAAUAUAUACCUCAUGGUUCUAUAUAGCUAGGAGAUCGAGUUAUGGUGUAGUCAAACUAUAGCAACCUCAUUGAAAUAGUCGAGGCACCGUAGGUCUAAGAACUACUCACACAUA